CCUACGGGAGGCAGCAGUGGGGAAUAUUGCGCAAUGGGCGAAAGCCUGACGCAGCGACGCCGCGUGAGGGAUGAAGGUCUUCGGAUCGUAAACCUCUGUCAGCAGGGAAGAACGGUCACUGUGCUAAUCAGCAGUGAAUUGACGGUACCUGCAAAGGACGCACCGGUUAACUCCGUGCCAGCAGCCGCGGUAAGACGGAGGGUGCGAGCGUUAAUCGGAAUUACUGGGCGUAAAGCGCUCGUAGGCGGUAUGUCAAGUCAAGGGUGAAAUCUCCGCGCUCAACGUGGGAACUGCCUUUGAAACUGGCAAACUGGAGUGGGUGAGAGGAUAGUGGAAUGCCAGGUGUAGGAGGGAAAUCCGUAGAUAUCGGGAGGAACAUCAGUGGCGAAGGCGACUAUCUGGCACAUAACUGACGCUGAGGAGCGAAAGCGUGGGUAGCAAACAGGAUUAGAUACCCGGGUAGUC
RNAcentral lists this ribosomal RNA (465 nucleotides) under uncultured bacterium. RNAcentral describes it as "partial 16S ribosomal RNA". It matches the Rfam family "Bacterial small subunit ribosomal RNA", at positions 338 to 795 of the family's 1533-position model. The record is from RNAcentral.